UGGAGUGCAAGCAGAGCUGGGCUGAGCUGGGUGUGCAGCCCAGCUCAAGUGGGGACAUGCCCAGAUGCUGAGCUGCUCAGGGAGCAUUGCUGAUGGAAACAAGGAUGCAUAAAGGCUUGGGGAUUGGGAACAUUGCCUGUUCCAAUGAAGGCAGCCACGGGGCAGGUUGUGUGAAGUGUCUGAGCUGCUCUGACAGUUUGCUCCUGCCAAAAGAGAGAAAUCUCUCUGUCCCACCCAGCUCUUGGUAGAGCUUUGCUGAACCAGUUCACCACACUGAGUGCAGCAGUGGGGAGCUAUCAGAGCAAGUAUCUCGUGGGACUUCAUCCUGCCAGUUUCUGAAAGAUCUGGAAGAAAUUACAAGAGUGACAGUUGUGAGAGGAACGUACUCCAGAUUGGCGGGGUUAGUUUGUGCUUUGUUACCACAUUGCCUCUUCCUAGCAAAGUGGAUGUGCUGGUGGUAUUCCUGGAUUUCUUGAGCUCUCAUGCUAACUCUGCAGAAGGUGGCAAUUCUGCUCCACUUUACACCAGACAAUUGCCAUUUGCUCUGGGGAGUUGUUGUUACUGGUUUGAGGAAGCCAAGGAAGAGAGGAUCCAACCUGACUUUCAAACUUCACAUUGUUUCCUGGGCCAGCUGUUGGGGAGGAAAAAAAAUCAAUUAUUUGCUUCAAGGCUGAAUUAUUCUAUUGGAGAAACCACAGCGGUGCUAACGCCAGGACAGUGCAGGAGGCAGGAAUCCGAACUGGCUGCCUGAUGCUUAAGAAGGUGAAUAAUGACUUGGAGAAGACCUGACGUGACCAUGGAAAGUCCACAGGGAAAGAACCCUAGGGAAGAAGGUCUUGCUGGCUUGAUGUCUGAAAACUAAACAAAAACCAAAUACAAAACAAAACAAAAAAUCCAAAGAGAAGGGACUGAUUUUCUUAGUAUGUCCAAAACCAAGAAAUGAGCUCAAACAUAGCCAGCAAGAGGAUGGCUAGAGUAAACACGUGCACUCAGAAGUUGUCAUCUCAUUUCUUAAUCUGAGAGUCUUUGUGAAAUGAGUAAAUGUUUUGCCUGAAUAAGAAACUUGGCAAUUGCUGCAAACCCACAGGCUCCCUGAUUCUGCUCUUGCUGACCACGCUCAGGACACCACAUGAGAUCAAGGGUGAGCAGGAAGGGGAACGCACCCCUGGAACAGGAUGGGGCAGAACCAGAACCUCACCUUCUGCCACAAUGCUGUGAAUUCAACAUUUCACCCAAGCAAACCCACAUUUCCUGGCAGUGCUGGGGCUGGCCUGGAAUCCAGACCUGGUCUGCUCAAGGGAAAAGGGAAUGGGAGUCCUGGAGGGAGAGAAUUCCUUGGCAAGCACCCCUAAGUCAUUUACCUUUUUGGAGAAACUACAGCAGGACCCCAACAACAGCCUGAUGUGCACUGAGCUACAGCUCUGGACAGUGAACAGCAAAUGCUUCACGUCCUGCAUUGAGCUGGAGAUUUUGAAGCAAUAUGUUUUUGAGGAGAUAUGUUUACCCAGUUCUAUAGAAAUCUUGAUGAAAAAAGCUUUGGCUCAGCCUGUGAGAUGCUCCUAAAUA
This is a long non-coding RNA of Corvus hawaiiensis (hawaiian crow), 1566 nucleotides long. RefSeq lists it as uncharacterized. The record is from RefSeq and is a predicted model, not a curated record. NCBI's taxonomy places the organism in Eukaryota, Metazoa, Chordata, Aves, Passeriformes, Corvidae. The transcript is spliced from 9 exons.